Molecule: ribosomal RNA, 500 nt
Filed under: uncultured bacterium
Lineage: Bacteria
Description: partial 16S ribosomal RNA
Rfam family: Bacterial small subunit ribosomal RNA
Source: RNAcentral
GACGAACGCUGGCGGAAUGCUUUACACAUGCAAGUCGAACGGCAGCACGGACUUCGGUCUGGUGGCGAGUGGCGAACGGGUGAGUAAUGUAUCGGAACGUGCCCAGUCGUGGGGGAUAACGUAGUGAAAAUUACGCUAAUACCGCAUACGAUCUAUGGAUGAAAGCGGGGGAUCGCAAGACCUCGCGCGAUUGGAGCGGCCGAUAUCAGAUUAGGUAGUUGGGGGGGUAAAGGCCCACCAAGCCAACGAUCUGUAGCUGGUCUGAGAGGACGACCAGCCACACUGGAACUGAGACACGGUCCAGACUCCUACGGGAGGCAGCAGUGGGGAAUUUUGGACAAUGGGCGAAAGCCUGAUCCAGCCAUUCCGCGUGUAGGAUGAAGGCCCUCGGGUUGUAAACUGCUUUUGUACAGAACGAAAAGGUUUCUACUAAUACUAGGAGCUCAUGACGGUACUGUAAGAAUAAGCACCGGCUAACUACGUGCCAGCAGCCGCCGUAA